RNAcentral lists this ribosomal RNA (253 nucleotides) under uncultured bacterium. Its description in RNAcentral is "partial 16S ribosomal RNA". It matches the Rfam family "Bacterial small subunit ribosomal RNA", at positions 524 to 776 of the family's 1533-position model. The record is from RNAcentral.
UACGUAGGCAGCGAGCGUUGUUCGGAAUUACUGGGCGUAAAGCGCACGUAGGCGGGUUGUUAAGUCAGGGGUGAAAUCCUGGAGCUCAACUCCAGAACUGCCUUUGAUACUGAAGAUCUUGAGUUCGGGAGAGGUGAGUGGAACUGCGAGUGUAGAGGUGAAAUUCGUAGAUAUUCGCAAGAACACCAGUGGCGAAGGCGGCUCACUGGCCCGAUACUGACGCUGAGGCACGAAAGCGUGGGGAGCAAACAGG